AUUGAACGCUGGCGGCAGGCCUAACACAUGCAAGUCGAGCGAGCGGAGGACGGGAGAGUAAUGUCUGGGACACUGCCUGAUGGAGGGGGAUAACAACUGGAAACGGUAGCUAAUACCGUAUACCCUCAGAUGUGCCCAGAGGGGAUUAGCUAGUAGGUUGGGUAACGGCACACCUAGGCGGCGAUCCCGAGCUGGUCUGAGAGGAUGACCAGCCACAGUGGAAACGAGACACGGGCCAGACUCCUACGGGAGGCAGCAGUGGGGAAUAUUGCACAAUGGGCGCAAGCCUGAUGCAGCCAUGCCGGGUGUAUGAAGAAGGCCUUCGGGUUGUAAAGUACUUUCAGCGGGGAGGCGUUACCCGCAGAAGAAGCACCGGCUAACUCCGUGCCAGCAGCCGCGGUAAUAC
This 406-nucleotide ribosomal RNA is filed under the name uncultured bacterium. RNAcentral describes it as "partial 16S ribosomal RNA". It matches the Rfam family "Bacterial small subunit ribosomal RNA", at positions 29 to 526 of the family's 1533-position model. The record is from RNAcentral.